This is a long non-coding RNA of Nycticebus coucang (slow loris), 3195 nucleotides long. RefSeq lists it as uncharacterized. Lineage: Eukaryota; Metazoa; Chordata; Mammalia; Primates; Lorisidae. The record is from RefSeq and is a predicted model, not a curated record. The transcript has 3 exons.
CUGGAAAUGUUUUUGUUGUUGGGGGAUUUUUUGUUGCUGUUUUAAUCUUCCUACUUGUUAUUGGUCUUUCAGAAUUUCUAUUUCUACCUGAUUCAAGCUUGGGAGGUUGUGUUCCCCAAAAUGUAUUCAUUUCCCUAGAUUUGUAUGCAGUUCAUAGCAGUCUUGGGUGAUAUUUUGUAUUUCUGUGGUAACAGUUGUAAUGUCUCCCUUUUCAUUUCUGAGUGAGCUUAUUUCAAUCCUUGGUCUUCUACUCUUGACUAAUUUAGCUAGUGGUCUAUAAAUUCUGUUUAUCUUUCCAAGAACAACUUUUCAUUUCAUUGAUCCUUGGUAUUGUUCUGUUGGUUUCAAUUUUGUUUAGUUCUGUGCCAACCUUUGUUAUCUCUUUUCUUCUGCUAGUUUUGGUUUGUUUUUAUUUUUUUAGUUCCUUGAGGUGUGACAUUAAGUUGUUAAUUUAUGAUCUUUCUGUAUUUUUGAUGUAGGUAUUUAGAGCUAUGAAAUUUCCCGUUAGCACUGCUUUGUUGUACCCCAGAGAUUUUGAAAACCUGGUCAUUCCUAUUAUUCAAUUUGGAAUUUUUUCCUUAUUUCCAUCUUAACUUUUUCAUUGAUCUAAAGAUCAUUCAGCAGCAUUUUGUUUAAUUUCUGUGUGUUUGUGUAGUUUUGAGACUUCCUCUUGGAAUUUCUAGUUUUAUUUCUCGUUUUAUUCAACUGUGGUCUGAGAAGACACAUGUUAUGAUUUUGAUUUUGAUUUUUAAAAAUUUGUUGAGGCUUGUUUUAUGACCUAAUAUAUGACCUAUCUUGGGAACUGUUCCAUGUAGUGAUAAGAAUAUAUAUUCUAUAGUUUGAGGGUAGAAUGUUUUAUAAAUUUCUGUUGGGUCUAUUUAUUCUGGAGUUCCAUUUAAAUCAGUGUUUGCUGAUUUUCUGCCUUGAUGAUCUAUCUAGUUCUGUUAGUGGAGUAUUAAAGUCAUCAGCUAUUAUGAUGUUGCUGUUCAUUUCUUUCCUUAAGUCUAGUAGUAGGAGCUCCUAUGUUAGGUCCAUACAUAUUUAGGAUUGUUAUAUCUUCUUGUUCAGUUGAUCUCUUCAUCUUAUAUAAUGACCUUUAUCAUUUUCUUUUUUGUUUUUUACUAUUUUAUCUGCUAUAAGAUAUUUCCUGCUCACUUUUGAUUUCCAUUUGUGUGGAAUAUUUUUUUUAACCCCUUCUCCUUGAGUCUAUGAGAAUCUUCACUACUUAAAGGGUUUCUUGGAGAUAUCAUAUACUUAGGUUGUGUUUUUUGUCCACUCCACCAAUCUAAAUCUUUUAAGUUGGGCAUUUAGACCAUUUAUGUUCAAUGUUAAUAUUGAUAUGUGAGAUAUGCUACCAGUCAUCAUGUUGAUUACUACCUACUUGUUUUGAAUUCUCCCUUGUGUUACUAUUUUGUAAAAGCCAUGAGUUGUUACUUUUAGCUGUUUUCACACUGGUGGAUAUCAAUUGUUCUGUACGAUGUGUAGAACACUUUUAAGGAUUUCUUGUAAGGCAGGCCUAAUGAUGUCAAAUCCCCUGUUUGCUUGUCUGGAAAAGACUUUUUUUCUCUUUCAUUUAUGAAGCUGAGUUUUGUAGGAUACAAAAUUCUUGGCUGACAGUUAUUGAGUUAAAGAUAGGGCCCUGAUUCUUUCUGGCCUGUAAGGUUCCCUCUGAGAAGAAACAUUGCUGUUGGUCUGAUAGAUUUUCCUUUAUAAAUUACUUGAUUAUUUUGUCUUGCAGCUUGUAAGAUUUUCUCCUUCAUUUGUUUUUUUUUUUUUUUUUGAAUUUCACUUUGUUGUCCUUGGUAGAGUGGCAUGACAUCACAGCUCACAGCAAUCUCAAAUUCUUGGGCUUGAAUUCUCUUGCCUCAUUUUCCCAAGUAGCUGUGACUACAGGCACCUGCCACAAGGCCAAGCUAUGUUUAGAGACCAGGUCUUGCUCUGGUUCAGACUGGUCUCAAACUCGUGAGCUCAGGCAAUCCACCUCCCUCGGCCUUCCAGAGUGCUAGGAUUACAGGCAUGAGCCACUGUGCCUGGCCUUUCCUCCUUCAUUUUGACUUUGGCUAGUCUGAUGACUAUGUGCCUUGGAGAUGUCCUAUUUGCAAUGAUUCUUCAAUGACUUUCUUUCUUUUUUUUGCAGUUUUUGGCCGGGGCCGGGCUUGAACCUGCCACCUCAGGUAUAUGGGGCCAGCACCCUACUCCUUGAGCCACAGGUGCUGCCCUCUUCAAUGACUUUCUUGUAAUUGGAUGUCUAAGUCUCUAGCAAGACUAGGGAAGUUUUCCUCCAUUAUUCACUCAAAGACUGCAGAAGCAAAGAGAAACAAACAUAUUUCACUCUGGGACCUUUUUACUCAUUGGGAUUCCAGAAACUCGGAGUGAAAGCCAACCACAGACUAGGUUCUACAGCGGCAGAGAAGAGUAUCAUGGGAGAAAAACCAGGAAUAAAAAUGGAGACGUUGACACUUCAAAGUAAAAGUAACCAAAGUCCUCAGAAUAUAAAGGAGAAAAAAGAAACCCGAGGACCAAAAAGGCUCUCAGGCCAGUUAGUUACAUGUUGGAGACCAUGGAGACCAUGGAGGCAUGAUGUAACCAUGACAUCCAGACUUUCCUGGAAGAAUGGGAAUUCCUUGAACAUGAAGUGCUCUUUAGGAGGAACAAGAAAAAUCAGAAGCUGGCAAAAGCAAUUGCCUAGCAUCUCAAGGAGAGAAACAUAAAGAAAAGCCGGCAACAGUGUCUCCAGAUGAUGAUAAAUUUACAAGAUCUGUAGUGGACUAUUCAUGAAGGCAACCAGAAACCUAGGAGUGAACCCUUGCCAUGUCCUAUGGAGAGACCUUCUACUUUGGAUAUAAUAGGGAGCACAAUCAUGUCUCAGGUCUUCCCUCUGCAGAAAUAGCCAAUCUUCCACCUCCCCAGUACCAGCUCUAGGCAGGUGGCAUCCUUGUACCCCCUCCGGAGAUGUUGUGGCCUCCCUAAUCUGUGAUCUUCAUGCAGAAUCCGAAGUUACCUGAAUGGAACUCCUGGGCCAUAAGCACACCAGAGUCAGCUCAAUGCCCGUUUCCUACCUUUUCCAUGGCAGUCCUCAGACUCCAGUGGCAAUGGAUGUGGAUCCUGACUGUACACGAGAGACACAAAUGUUGUCUUCUACAUACUUAUAACUCCUUCUCUUCCCCAAACCCAAUGAAAUGAAAAUAAAAUGUG